Molecule: long non-coding RNA, 494 nt
Filed under: Androctonus crassicauda
Lineage: Eukaryota; Metazoa; Arthropoda; Arachnida; Scorpiones; Buthidae
Source: RNAcentral
GCUACAUCAUGCUUCAAGACAAAAUUUCAUUUAUUUUUAAUUAGAAAUAAAUAUUUCACAAUAUAUAAUUACAUAUCUUUUUUGUGAUUAAUCACUAUACUUUAAUUAUGUUCAAUUUUUAACAAUGAAAAUAUAUUCUGCAUAUCAGAUAUUUACAUUACGAUUCAUAAUAGUAGAAAAAUUACAAUUAUAAAGUAACAGCGAAAAUAAUUUCAUGGUUGGGGGUCACCACAACAUAAGGAACUGCAUUAAAGAGUCAUGCCAUUAGGAAAGUUGAGAACCAUUGUAUUAGAUUAUAAAAUUAACAAAAUUGGAUAAAAAAAAUCCAAAUUCUAUUAAGACAUUCAAUUAUAAACAAUGUUUGCUUACACAUAAUUUAAAAAAAUAUUUCAGCAACUAUAAAAAUUUAUGAACUGUCAUGAAAAGGCAUAUUUUUAAUAAAUACACAAAAGAAAACAGAUUUGCAAAAACUGGAUUAAUAAAAUCAGGAUUGA